Long non-coding RNA from Prionailurus viverrinus (fishing cat), 298 nucleotides. RefSeq lists it as uncharacterized. The transcript has 4 exons. NCBI's taxonomy places the organism in Eukaryota, Metazoa, Chordata, Mammalia, Carnivora, Felidae. The record is from RefSeq and is a predicted model, not a curated record.
GUGAUGUGUAUGCAAGUCACCAGAACUGACAGGACAUGUGACCUAGGACUACUGAUCUCCUGCCUGGGCAAAGCAGAGAACACAUGCAACACAACCUAAACUUUUCUGGAGUACUUAACAGUUUUCUGACGAUCAGUUAAUACACUCCUCAGAAGCUACUGCAGUAGGAACAGCUGUUUGAAACACAAAUGGUUCAGAUCAUAAAGUAAAAGAGCAGGAAUAUGUGCUUAAAUAAAAAGGAAAUUCUCAAAGAAUGCGGUAAAAGUGCAAGGAAAGACACAAGCUGAAUGCCAUCAAA